This is a long non-coding RNA of Bactrocera neohumeralis, 3655 nucleotides long. RefSeq lists it as uncharacterized. The record is from RefSeq and is a predicted model, not a curated record. The transcript is spliced from 2 exons. Lineage: Eukaryota; Metazoa; Arthropoda; Insecta; Diptera; Tephritidae.
UUAUAGUUAUGGCUAGAGUAGCGCGUCGUACUUUGGUUACUUGAUAAAAUAGUGUAACUUAAGUAGCGUGUCGUAUUCUGAUUGGUUAAGUCUUGUUUGAUCAUGCAUUGCUUGCGUGAUUGAGUGAUGUCGUGCUUAUCGCUGCUAUGCAGAUGUAAGUAUAUGUAAGUAAUACAAUUCCUUUAGAAUUUGUUUUUAGAAAAUUUUAUUUCCCUUGGUAAUCCCAAGGGCAGCCGGUCUCAGCGGAAGAGUUGAAAUAACUGACUACAUAAGAGCGACGUUAGCGUCUAAAUACCUACACUACUUUGCCCUAACUUUAGUUGCUGCACGUUAUUGGCCGCGUGACUUCUUAGUUGCUUACACUAGCAACUGUUUACCCAAUUCUUUGCUGUCUUGCGUUUAUUUUGUUGUUGUCACGCGAAUUAAGAAUGCUAUUUAGGCAAUUCUAAAAAAUAUAUAUUUUACCAGGAUAUCACUCCUGGGUUUCUCUUUAUUUAAUAUAAAAGUAUUAUACAAUACAUCUGACUAUAUCUAAAGUUUAUGUUAAACUGAGUUGAAAGAACACACAGUGUGCGAUCCAUUGUAUUUAUAGCUUUAUACUGAUGUAGCGUGGCGUGCUGUGAUUGGUUGUUUUAGGUGGCGUGAUAUUUGCUGUAAAUUCUUGUGGCAUGAUAUUAUCUCCCUUUGUUUGAUUAUUCACGUUGUAUGUGCAUGAUGUGCUGUUGCUAGGUGAUAUUGUUACAUAUAUAUAUUAUACAGUGGAACUUCCUUAACUCGAAUGUCCAAGGGACAGAAAGUAGAGUUCGAGUUACGGAAAAUUCGAAUUAUGGAAAAUACACUAAGUUGAGUUCAAAUUUAUUUACAUAUGUAUGUAUGUACAUGUUUAUUUAAAAAGACAGUUUGUAAUACAUACUUAUGUAGUAUAAGUUAAGCAGGUUAGGUUUUAUUAAUAAACUUUAUUAAUUAAUUUAUCACCUGUAACUAAUGAGUUGUCUCGAAGAACUGUCCUGCUAUGCUAACAGCGCAGCCUUAAACACCCUCUCGUCUAAUGGUUUUCAGGUGUUGUUGUUAUGGUUGCGCGCAGUGAUCUUAUGCGCUUUAUUAUACUGUUGCUGGGUUACCUAACUAACCCAAGCGCAUGGUGAAGCUAUUGUUAGGCAAGCGAUGAACUCGUGCGCCGAGUUGGGCUGUUGGCGGGCUGCUUGGCUAACCCAUGCACACGGUAGAGCUGUUGCUGGGCGGCUUAGACUGCAUACACAUGUGCGAGGUGUUGCUGUUGUUAGGUGGUGAUAGAAUUACGCGCUAUCCUGCGCCGUUGCGAUGUUGCUAGGCAAACACAUGGGCAAGGUUAAUUGCCUGCGCAGUGUUCUUAAGCGCCGGACUGUUCCGAUGUUGGACAGCUUAGAAAACAUAUGCGCGAGGUGUUGAUGUUGCUAAGCGCCACUGUCGAAAGGUUGCGUGAUGAUGACGUACGCUAAGCUGUGUUAUCCAAAAGACUGGUCCUACCAUACCAUUAUAGAACCUCCGCCAUGUUUAAUGGUCUUUCGGGUUAAAUGGUCUAAAGGGUUAAAUUCAGCGUUCAGUGGGCGUCGAACGAACAUUCUACCAUCGGAUCCGAAUAAAUUUACUUUGGUCUCGUCCGACCAAAGGACAUUUUUCCAGUUUUCCCGCAACAAGUGCCUCUGCGCGAACUGCAAUCGUUGAUUCACGUUCUUUUUGCUCAAAUACGGGACUACGUUGAACACCAUAUUUCUGGAGCAUUCCAUUAUUGCAGCUAUUUCGCGAAUGGUUUUUCCAAUUUUUCGUAGUUUUUUUAUGGUUUUACGUUCGGUUUCCGAGCAAUGUUUGGCGCGACCCAUUACAGAUAAUUUUAGGAUUUUUUUUUAGUACUAUCUUGUAAAAACUUAUAACACAGCAAAUCACUAUGAAUUAAUAAUGAUCUUUCGAAAAUUUCCGCAAUGCAUACAGCGCGAACGACCAAACUUAUUCUGUCCCUAUUAUUUUUUCCAUUCAAAAACAUGUGCAUCAGCUUUAAAACGCAAUUAUUCAUAGUUGUGCUGCCUACUAUGCUUUAAGUGCGUAUGAAGUAAAGUACCGUUAAGUAACUGAAGUUAACAGUGGCUUCCAACAAAAUAGCACAGAAUUAUAAAAAUUAUGGAAUAGUAUAAAGUAAUAUGGGGAUGUCCCUAUUAUUUUUUCCAACACUGUAUGUGUACGCAUUUACUUAUUCAAUAAUGCACACCUGCACUUACCAAUUGCUUUGCACUUUCACCUUUUUGGAGUAAAAACGCUAGGGGUUGUAUAAAUUUUCGACUUUUGGAUUUAUUCCAGACAAAUGCUUCACAGUAGUUUAUAUGAAUUUCAAUGCUUUUGUCAAGAAUGUCCAAAUUGUUUAUUUCAAAUUAUUUUCAAACGAAUACCAAGUUUACUUUAAAAUUAUUAUUGAACGAAUACCAAAAUAUAUUGAAAAGAAACAAAAAGAACAAUUAAACUUUUAAAUCGUAUACUUUUGCGGUAAAAGCAGAACAUGAUGUUAACAGUAUUCCGUUUUUUAUGAUUUCCGAGUUCUUGGAAACCCCUGCGUAUGCGGUGGUGUGGGAGUUUCUAAACCCAUAUGUUUAAAUAAACUUCCAUUCUUUUUAACAAGGGUUGGUUCUAUCAUCUCAAUGCCUUGGCUAACAAUAAUUUUAAAUAAAUGUGCCAAUUCUACCGAAAUUUCGGUGCCAGAACUGAAAGGUCCUGUUGGUGCAGUGGAAUAAUAUUCCUUGGCACAGGUGGUCUAAUUAGAUUAUUUAGGCCAUUAUUUCAUUUUUCUUUUAUUAAUUAUUCUUUUAUGACAAUAAGGAUAUAAAUGAUUCCUUGAUUUGUUAUUUUAAUAUGUAUAAUUUGUUUUUUUUUUAUUAUAUUCCUGCAAUAUACGAGUAUGUAAGUUAAUGGUUGCCUCCAAAUAAUUAAUUACGCGCUCUUUUGAAUUGUAAAGUUGAACUCAAAUUUCUUUAUUGAAUACAUUUCUUUUAUACAGAAUUUUGCUUAUUUACUAGUACUUGUUUCUAUAUACUCUAUAAUGAUAACGUUAACAAUAAUUAUAGCAAAACAGCAAACCUCAGUUUGGUCGAGAAACGGCCUAUGUACAUACAUUGUGGCGGCACGGCUUCCGCUCUGGUUUAGUGCCGACGAAAUAUGCUGUUGUCGUAAAUUUUGGAAAUCAACUUUAUUGAGCAACAAUGAUAUUGUUUAUUUGAAGAAUAUUGCUGAAUUGAAUUUCUGUUUAUAGUUGCAACAUUCUUGCCAGUAUAUUUUACUAGCUACGACAACUUUGUUGUUGUAUAUUUUGUUAGCUAUGUUAGCUGUGAUAACUUGUAUGUACAGUUUUUAUAGUCCUAAAAUUUAAAGAGUAUGCAUGAAUCUUAACGCAAUUAUUUAAUUCAUAUAAUUUUAAGAAAUCUAUUAUUUUUGAUAAUAAUUAUUUUUAAUAUUAAUUUUAUGUUAGCGUAAGUUAUUAUUGUAAACAUUUUGAGUCUCAAGAGACAAAUUUUUUUUUCGAAUAAACAAAAACAACAACACUAGCAAAUAAAAUCAUAAAUAAAAUACAUAAUUUUCUAACAAUCAUCCUUGAUUUACUUACUAAAAUCUCGAGGCAACAAUUAAGUAAAAA